AAAAGAGGUAUUUUUGAGGUAUAAAAAAAUUGACCUUAUUUCAACUAACGAGAGUGAGAUAUUUAUUGAGGUAUAUGAAGUCCUUUUAUUUAUACCUAAGCUUAUUUUGAGGUUGUUUAAAAUUCACUUCAUAUCAACCAGAAUCAUGAGGCAGUUUUUAAGGUUCACCAGGUUGUUUUUUUUACACUUGUAACAAAAGAGGUAUUUACGAGGUAUAAAAAAUAUAAUUUUUUUCAACUAAAGAGAGUGAGGUCUUUAUUGAGAUGUAUGAAGUCAUUUUAUUUAUACCUAAGGUUGUUUUAAGGUUGUUUAAAGUACACUUCAUAUCAACUAGCUCACUUCCCAGAGUUCCGUGCUAGCCGGCAAAUGGCGUGUGUGUUUACAAUCGAAAGUUUCUUUAAAAUUCGAGCUGCUCCGUAAAUGGCAUCCAGAAUUUCAAGGUUUGAAUAAGGCUGUCAAUAAUACGUGCUCUGCAGCUAGGAGGAAGUGGAGACUAGUAACUGGAGAGCCUUCCCCUGGGAGUAACUCUAAAUAUACACCAAAAAGAAAAAAGACAAGUUCCAAUGCUCCAAAUAACGUAAGCACAGCAAACUUGCAGAAGAAGCAGAGUAAUUGUCAAGAAUUUUGAUUUCUUGAACGAAAAAUUAAUUUUUUUUUGUUAAUAAAAGUUUUUAUUUGUAA
Molecule: long non-coding RNA, 681 nt
Organism: Parasteatoda tepidariorum (common house spider)
Lineage: Eukaryota; Metazoa; Arthropoda; Arachnida; Araneae; Theridiidae
Source: RefSeq, a predicted model, not a curated record